UUAUAUCUUUUUAAGUAUGGUUUGAGUGUUACUGAAUUACAGCUAAAUGGACAAAAGGGAAGGCAGGAAUUGUGAAGAGGUGAGUUCCCAUUUUCUUUCUUUCCCCUGUGAAUGUUUACUGCCCCUCCUAACCCUUUUAUUCUCUGCCCUCUCCCUCUUUCUCUCUCUUCCUAAAAAUAGUAACUCAGGAAAAAAAAAAAAAAAAAGAUACUGCGGGAAGUUCAGUUAGAAGAAAAUCAGGGAUGGCCAGGGAUCUAGGAAAAAUCGAAGAAGGUUAAAGCUGAGAGAGAGAGCCAGGUUGGCAGAUGUGAAGGGGACGAAACGAAGAGUGCAUGAGUAAGGACCUAGAGGAGGCAGCAGCGACCCGGGAGAGGAGAAAGGAGGGGAGGGAUGGAUGGAUGAAAGCGAGCAAGAAAAGGAAGGAAGCAAGGAGGCAGGCAGCGUUAGGCAGACCCAUUCAGGUUUGUUGCUAUAACCCUGUCUAUAUCAUAUUUUGUUAUUCUCAUUUCCUCUCACUUUUCCUUUCUCAUUUUCCUUUUCAGCACCCUUUUACAGUUUCUUUAAACUAUGUUCUCACUGUUUCUUCAUUGUUUGUAUGGCAUAGUUUUACUGCUUUUUCACUGUCUAUGUGUACAGGCUUGUCAUCCAAAUUUUUUGUCUUUACUGUUUGUUCUUGUGGUUUGUUUAACAUUCUGUGUCCUAAGUUCAUCUAGUUAUCAUUUCCUCAUCCCAUGCUCUUUCCUUUCUCUCCAUUCCACACUGCUUUAAAAUUUCAGAGACUUCAAAUCCACUUCUCAAAAUACAUUAUUUUUACAAUUAUUCUCAUCUCAGGCUUAUCUCAUUUUCCCCCUUUUUCUUUUACUCUAACUCUUACAUCUCACUUGCAUACAUCUGUAUUGCUCACGUGAUACAAUUUCCCAUUUGUUAACUAUUUUUUUCUUUGUACUCAGUUUUACAUUUCUUUUAUCAUGAAAAAAAAACCUAAUUUAUUUCACUAAUCUCUGUUUUCACUCUUAUUUCCUUAUUCACCCUUUCCCUUUAACCUCCCUCCCCUUUCUCUUGUGAUCAUGCACAAAUGUCACAGCUAUAACCCCUUGUGUCCUCUCUCAUCAACAAAGAUUUUUUCCGAGCAUUUAAAGCAGCCCCGUCCUCUGUAAAGCUACCAAAAAGUGCAACUGCAGUUAGAAAACACCAAGAUUAGUAAUAUACGACUCAACCAUCUCUUAGUGCAGAGUGUGCUGGUCCCAUCCAGCACUGAAUGGGUUAAAAGUCUAAUGUGCUUUUUAUUUUUUUAUUUUUUUCAACAAGAUAACUAUUGCUCUUUUAUGGGGUGUGUGGUCACUUCAUGAUGAAAAUAAAGCCAAGCAUAUAUUUGUUUUGUAAAUCAAUCACAGCAAACAAGUUAAAGAAAAAAAAUAACUAUAGCAAGGACAUGCUAAAACCUGUAAUUACCUUGCAUAUCCCUUUUAAUGGACGUCGCAUCACUAAUAACUGUCCAAAUUCCCUCCCACCCCCCAGCCCAAGGGAUAGAGAAUCCAUGUUUUUUUUUUUUUGCUAGUGUUCACUGAGUCUAUAGACCAGCUCAGUUUGAACUGAGGUAUUACAAGAUUUCAGUGUUAGAGACCCAUUGUCUGAAAAGCAGACACUUUCAGACCCCCAGCUCCUUCUAUUCUCCUUCUUUUUUUUUUAGCCUCUUUUUUUCCCGGGGGCUAUUUGACAAAGAAGUGUGUUAACUAACCUUUUAAAAAAAAAAAAAUCUCAACAGAUCCUUUUCAAUAUCAUAUUUUAAUUCUAUCAAAAUCUGUUGUAUAUUUGCGGAGAUAAUGUGGCUUUUUUGUGUGAAAACCACAUAAUUAAUUCUAAUUGCUAGCAACAUACGCACCUCAUUAACACCCACUGACAUGUACAUAUGUAAAUGUGUUGCUUGUAAAUACACUUGCCCCCACCACUCUCAAUUGGUGUUCUUUUUAAGUCACAGCAGAUGCAAAUUAAACAAACAAUUAAAACAAAGUUAUUCCAGGGAUAAUCAGUCAUUAUGAUCUUUACUGACUUUUGAUUGGAAACAAAAUGGUUUGAAGAGCUUAACACUUGACAAAGAAUGAUUUAGAGAGCAAAGGACUUUAGAGAUUCAAUAUAUUUACCUUAUUUUCACUUUUUUGAAAUGCUUAUACGAUGGCUGGUUAUCUAAGGAGGAUGCUUUAUAUAUUUAUGCGAUCCUGCUUUUUCUUAGCCAUUGAACCCUUGGGCAAUAAGAGAUACAAUUCUAGAGGUGACAAGCAGGAAAUAUGUGUGUAAAAAAAAGAAAGACCGUAUCAGAAAGAGGGGCAGGUUUUCAUAUCCAAAUAAAUAAAAAUUUGUUUGAGAUCGAAGUCAUAGGUGAAACACCCAAAAAGGGAAAAAAGAGCAAAGGUUGCAGUAAAGAAAUCAAAGAAGGCGGAAUUAUGAACAAAGAGAGUGGGGAUGCGAAUAAAAGGGAAAAAAGAUGACAUAGAGAGGAAAAGAAAAGGUAAAAAGAGCCAGGGCGCAGACAAGGUUAUGGGUUCAGAAGCCCUCUGGGCUUUGAGAGGUCAGAGCUCUCUGACAGUCUCUCUGCCUCCCCCUUCCCAGCCAACAACCCAGUGUUUAUAAACAAAUCACAUCGGCAGCAGGACCAUAAGAAAGGCAUCCCACUAACUGCAGAUCUCCCUUACAGCACUCCCUCUAAAACGGGAAAACACCCUGACCUUACUCCAAAAAUUACACUCUUGCUAAAUAUAUCCUAAAAAAAAAUAAAAAAUAUGGGAAAAAUAAUUACUGAGCAUGUUCUACAUUAAGAUUCAUCUCAGAUUAGAUGAAACAUUAGGGUAUAAAUAAAAAUAAGAAUGAUGCCUACGAUUAAACCAGAAUUAAAUUGUCCAGAAAAAGUAAAUAAAAUACUAUUUGGAAAUCACUUAAAUACAAUACAGCUUUGUCCAUGCAUUUAAUUAGACUUAAACAAACCAUUUUGAUUAAAAUGCCACAGUAAAAAGAAUGAAUACAACAAACUGUAUAAUGUACAUUUACCUUGAUAACCAGCAAUAAUUAAAAUUUAUUUUUAAAAAUCUCGUUUGAUCUUUUUUUAAAUUAAAGCCAACAUUAUAUUGCAAUUCACAAAAAGAGAAAAAAACGUUUAAAACUAAACCAGCAGACAAAAUGAAAGAAGUCUUAAAAGCAAACUUACAACUAUCAUAAUUAAAACCAUCUUUAAUUGCAGGAAAGAAGCAAUCACAAACUAAACGAAUCAAUACUUGGUUAGUAUCAGCUAACCUAGAAAACGUAGAAACGCAAAAUAAAGAAAAAUAAAAUAAUAGUUAAUCUAAAAUCUGUAUCAAAGCAAUAAUUAGCAAGACAAUAUAUAUCUAUAUAUAUCUUUGUAUGUAUAUAUAUAUAAAUGUAUAUAUAUAUAUAGACACACAUAUACAUUUGUGAUAUAGACACAUAUACAAAAAGAUGAAAGGAAAAUAUACCUCAAGUGUAAAAAGUCUGUCUUCUUUUCUUCUUUGUCUAUCAGCCUCCAGUUAAAGCAUAUGGAAAAAUGUUUUCAAAAUGCCUAGAUUUGGCACAUUGUCAUUGCAAAGAGAGGAGCGUAGUGAUGCUGUUACAGAAAAAUGGGAUAUAAAUUCAGGAUUGGGUGCUGCCUCCUUCAAUGCGGAUUUAUCUAAGUUUAAUUUAAUAUUCUGCAAUCACUGUAUGAUCACAUAUAAUUCACCUGGAUUUUUUUUAAGGGCUUUCUUUAAAUACAUUGACCAAAACACUGAAGCAUUCAAAUAGAUUGGCGGGUUAUUUGAUUUUUUUAUUUAUUUAUUUUUUCAAUUUUUUUUCUCUACUUUGAACCAUUAUUAGCAUUUGAAAAUAUACACAUACAAAAAAAAAUGGUGUUAGCAUGCAAGGGGCGUGCAAUGAUACAGAAAUUCUUAGCAUCUUAUAAAAGCACACCUGGCUCAGCAUUCCAAAAGGCACAAAAUGCUUGUUUGUAAAACACUAAACCUUUAAUCGAAUUAUUGGCAUUUCAAUUGAUUAGAUAAACUAAAAUCUAUAACAGACUAAAAGGCAUUUAAAAUAUUUAUCUACCUGAUUUUUAAACAUUUUUGUAAAAAAAAAAAAAGAUUAAUAAAAGGAACACAGGAAAUUCUUCAGAUAUCAAAUUACAAUAAUUCAAUUAUUUCCACCUGGAUUGGGAUGGUUAUAUAAUAAUAACAAUGAUAAUAGUAAUUAUAGUAAUGAAUUAUGCAGAAACCUUUUAACAUACACUAGAGGACACAGUUCAAAAAUCAACAUUUGAAGAUAUUUUGACAUUUUGUACAUUUUUUUUUUUGCUUCAUUUUUGGAGAGAUAUAUUUUUGUGAAAUGGUAUUAUAGAGAAAAAAAAUAAACCAAACUCAAAUGCAUUAUAUGGUACUUUUAAGGAACAAUAAAAUAUACAUAUAUAAUUUAAUGAUAGCACCACAACUACAAUAAAAUUACUACACAUUUAUUUAAAGAUCACAUUUACAAAGAGUGUGAUUUUGUUUAAUCCCAAUUCUUUAUUUUCUUGGCAAAUGGUUGAUUUAUUCAACUUCCUGAUUCUGUGACAAUCAGAAAAUAAUGCUGGUAAUUAACAGUUUUACAGAACACACGUUUAUUUAAAGGGAGAGGGAGCUGCAAAGUGGAGAAAUGCAGGCUGCAUGCUUGUGGCAUUCUGACUGUGAGGAGAGGAAGUGUUGUUGUAACGGGUAUUAUGUUUAUUUGAUAAAGAAAAUCAAUGAAAGUGGCUGUAAAGUAGUUAGUGAGGCGUGUGUUUGGGACUCGGGUUGAAUAGUGACUCCGGCGGACUGGUCGAUCAGCUCUAAGAGCUUUGGAAAUCUAACCUAACCCUCAGACCACGCUGCUCCCUACUCUACUGAAACACAUGCUCCAUCCUGUCUCAUCCUCAUCUGCUUCCUCUCUUAACCCUUUCAGUGCAAAUCCUGCCACUCAUGAUAUCUUUUACAAUUCCAUUCUCAAUUAACUGGCUCUUUUAUUUAACAAUGUACAUUGUGUGUCUAACUGUAUACCUACAUAUCUAUUUAUAUAUUAAUACAAAUUACACUGAGAUACUGAGUGGAAUCAUAUAUAAUUAUAUAAAUGUUUAUAUAUAUAUAUAUAUGUGAGAUUUUAUAUAUAUAUAUAUAUAUAUAUAUAUGUGUGAGAUUUUAUAUAUAUAUAUAUAUAUAUACAUACUUACACAAAUACAUAUAUAUGUGUGCAUACAAAUGUUUGUUUAUGUAUGUUUGUGUGGAGUUUGUUUGUGUGUGUCUAUACCUGUAUAUGUAUAUAUAUAUAUAUAUAUAUGUGUGUGUGUGUGUGUGAGUGUGUGCAUUUUCUGUCAUUUUAUACCUCUAUACCCAAGAGUCCUUGAUUCCCACUGUCAUUAUUUUCUAUUUUUUUUCUCUUUGCACUUAAAAAAAUGUAUAUGGACAUCUAAAGAUUUCAAAAUACUAAACACAUAUACAAAUAUUUCACAAAUGUUGUCUGGAUAACCUAUAUUGCUUUUACCUUAUUCUCUAUGCACCCUUUAGACCUUGUAACCCACUUUGUGUGUAUCUCUCGGUUUUGCUGGUCCUUGUAAAGAUGUUUAAUAACUAAUUUAUCACACCUUACUAAAUGGAUGUAAGAUCACAAAUAGGCAGAUCAAUGCUUACCUCUGUAUCAGACACUCAGUAAGCUAGCAUCUGUGGUCAAAAUUAUAGGCUUCAGUCUUUCAGUGCAGAUAUUUUCAAAUCCCUGAAAGGUAACCAUCUAUAUAAUUUUUUAUUUUUUUUUAAAAAGACGGCCUUGUUUGUUGAUAUUUAUUUAUGUGGCUGGUACUAAUGUAUGUCCUUUGAAACAUUUCUCCGCCAUAUUCAUGAUUUGUCAUUACGUAUUGUUUUCUUUGCUUGACCUGCAGAAAUAUAUAUCCCUAAUAAAUUUCUAUUUAGGGUGGCGUAAGUGCAGACUAACAAUAUUUUGUUUUACUUUUUAAGGUUUGUUUUUUUUUAAAGUCCAGUUUUUCAGCUCUGUGAAAUAUGUUUCACUAAGUUGGCCAUUACUUCUCAAAUCUGUUUCGUGAAAUGCAAUAUUAACCUGUUCAUUGCCUACUUUGAAGGCCUCAGUAGUGCUGAACGUGUUCACAAGUUUAAUUUGCUAAUAAUUUUUUUUUUUUUGCAUAGCUUAAUUUUUCAGUUAUCAUUUUAACCCCUUAAAGACCAAUGAUGUACCAGUGCGUCAUGAUAUAAAGGGAUACCCCAAACACUUAAAGGGUUAAUACUAUUACUUGGCACGUUUAACACCACUGUGUACUCUCUGAAUACACAAACAUAGAAACAGAGGAACUAUAUAACAUAAUUUUGUUUUAGGGACCGCUGUCUGCAGUACUUGUCUCUGCUUUAUUCUCGAUAUAUUUUAUUCUGUCCUGUUUUUAAUCUGUCUUUAUCCCUCUCUCUACACAGCAUUCAGAUUUCAAUAGUCAUUUUUUUUUAUCUCUCCUCAUUUAACCUUGUAAUUCUUUGUCUAUAUAUAGCAUUGAACUCUUUUUAAAAUAGAUGUCUGUUGCCAUGCAAAUGUGAGAAAGUCCAUUUCAAAUGAGCAGAGGAACAGAUUAUUAAAAAACAGGCAAAUGUAUAACCACAAGCCCCACACCUCACUGUAAGCCAUUUGUCAAAGUGACAUGGCUGCCUCUUGCAAUGAAGGGGCAACCUCUGAAGGUGUUAAGGCUAGUAUUUAUCAGCCAAUAAAAAUAUCUCAAUUAAGGAAUAUUUUACACUGCUAAGUCGAUAUUGUAAUUAAAUUAUAUAUUUAAAUGUCAGCCAAACUCCAGCAGAAUUUUAACAAGGUACUUUAACGUGAACAGACCUAUAAAGCAUUUCUAUAUUAGUCUUAAACUUGUAAAUAUCUAUUCCCUAACUAGCGAGAUGACAAAAAAAUAGGCCCAGGUUGCGGAGUUAGCAAAAAAAAACCUCAUAAUUGUUAGCUAACCAAGUCUAACCCUGUAGUGAUUAGACCUGUACACAGGGGGACAGCAAGAAAGUGGAGACAUUAUUUACUAUAUAUAUAUAUAUAUAUAUAUAUAUAUAUAUAUAUAUUUAUAUAUACACACAUACGCACACACCUUUAAGUUUAGUUGUGUGUCAGGCAGGUACCCCACUAAAUGUGUUGCUAAGCUUUUUUGUGGGAUUAGGAGUUAGAAUAAGAGUUAAGUCAUAUAUGUAUUUUAAAUCAUCAGAAGACUGUAAAAUUGAGGAACAAUAUCAAAUGCUCGACUGCUCUCACUUCAUUGCAAAUCCAAUAUACGUUACUGAGUGGUUAUGGGGCUUUAAAUAAAGCAAUUUCCAUUGUGUUUGCACUGUUUGUAUCAGACAAGCACAUUUGUUUUUGAUUUAAUCCUUUCAAUGCCAGAGGGCUGCUGCUACACAUUGUAGGUUUACCUGGGGAAGAAAGGGUUACCUAGGCUUUUUGUGAAAUGUAGAUAUUACAGCAAAAGACACACAAUAUCACCUAGAGGUAUGAUCAGGCUCAUGCAGUGUUUUGAAGUAACUCUCAUCAGGCACAGGCAAGCCAUAUUGGUUAAAAAUAGAAUCAGCAGUUGUCAUGAAUGCUGUUGUGUAAUUGAUUCUUUUAUAUUGCAUGCAGUUGUGUAACUUACAUAUGGGACAUCAAUUUAUCUUAUAAAGACACUGUCAUGAAAAACGUGUCAAACUUGCUUAAUGACCUCAUUUCAUAUAUACCAUGUGUUACCAAUAUGGUCAUAAAAUUCAUAUGUAUAGAAUUAGUUUCCAAUUAAAUCUUCUUCCCAGUGCCAAGGUGCUAAAUCACAGCAUAUAUCCCAUAUCUGAAUUCCAAAUAAAUCCACUGGAAUAAAAUUGCUCAUGGUGAGCCCACAAGUGGUUUGUAACGUUCUAUAUAACCUAGUAAUAUUGUCAUCAUGAAAAAAGCUGAAAAAACCUCAUUUGCAUAUAUCCUUUAAAUUAUAAAUGUUUUGGUAGUUUAACAAGCACAACAGAUAUAUUAAAUGUUUAUAGCUACAUGACACUGAUAUUGCCAUUCACAUUUUAUGAGAUACUGUCCCUUUCAUACAGAUAAAUACAUACAUGCAUACAUUACUGGACUGAUAUAUUAACUUAUCCCCAAGUCCAAAGCUAGAAAAACAGUUAGCUGCUUCGCAAUUUACCCAAAUAAAUAAUUAGAAAUUUAAAUUUGACGGAUACAUAUAUUUAAUGUAAAUGGUCAAAUUGUGUCUUUUUUUUUUUUGAGAGAGACAGAUUGGUGUAUUUUACAACUAAUUAAUAGUUACGGGGAAACAUUCUGUUAAAUUAUAUUUAUUUGUAUAUGCUAGUGAAUGAAUUGAACAGUAAUUUGUGAAACAUUACUACGCUUGAUCCAGUUUGUGAGUGAUGAUUAUAUGUUUAUUGACGCUGUCAAGAUAUUAGCACUGACCCAUUAGCAAUCAGUGACUACAUGGGGAUAGGAAAUUAGUAUUUUCUAAAUAAUAGAAUUUGCGUUUUUAUUUAUACUUAACCCAUUCUUUGUUUCAAGAACCACAUGAGUUACGUUUAUGUACUCUACUUUCAGCCCAAGCCCUAGGGCCUGCUAUUAACACUAUUCUUUAAGCGUCUUACCACUGUUGUAAGCAAAUGUGACAUUUCUACAGCUUAUAACAAAAACAAAUUGGCAUGAUUAUAGGUAGUAUACGAAUCAGCACCUAGGGCUUGUUACCAGAAAAAAAUAAUGCAAUCAAGUAAUGUUCUGAGGACCAAGCAAACACUUCUAUAGAGUGUGGUUCUAACUUGUUUUAAAGCAAAACCUAUUAAUUAUGUUUUUCUUAACCCCUUCACUUCCUAAUUCACUCAUUUGUGGAAAACAUAUAACACUUAUUUGAAACAUGAAUGCAUAGCCAGCAGUGUAAAUGUUCAAAAAAACUGCUAUUUCAGUAAAUGUUAAUGGAUGCCCAAUAAAGUUACAUUAUGUUAUGUUAAAUAUUUUAUUUAAAUUAUUCAUUCUUCAUAUCAUCUUGAAGAGAUAAAGAUUGUUUUUAGAUUAUAUGGCAUACCUCACCUAAAUAUUAGCAUAGAAGCAGAAAUAUAAUUUUUGAUGCAUAUAGUUGGAUUUAAAAUGGAUAAAUAGAAAUGUUUAAAUACCCUGCUUUAAACUUCUGAUUUUGAGUGUUUCUAUAGAAUUUGAUGGCUUUUCUGGGAAUAGACCUUUCUAAAAAUGCUACCAGAAUAUAAAAAUAAUUUCUUAUAUUAUAAGGCACCGUAGAAUAAGUUGGUACCUGCAAAAUAAGUUGAUAUCUGCAACAUACAGAAUCAUCAGGCUGCUAUUGCAUCCUGUAAGUAAUACCUAUAGUGUACUCAGUGUAGUUAAACCUCUCACUCAUCCCCCCCUCGGGUUGCUAGAAUGCAGCCUUGAAUUUCAGACAGCAAUGUUUUAUGUAUAAUAUGAGGUAGUAGAGGAGGCAUCAUUAACAGUCCCUCUGCCUAUACGUAGAGGAACAGAAUGGAUCCCUGUGGAUCCCUGGCAGAGAAAUGUGUCCCUCUGCGAGUUGAAAAAUCAGUCCCAGAGAAAAAAGGAAUGUCAGUUGAGCUUUUUAACAUCCAUUUCAUAUUGCAACGCAUAGCAAAAUAUACACAUUGUUAAAUAGUAAUAGAUUAAAUACUCUAAAUGCAAAUAGACAUACUGCAUCAUAUAAUUUAUAGUAAUAUAAUUGUGUAUCAAACUUCUCUGUCAUAACAUGAAAAAACUAAAAUAGAGCUGUAGGCAUUUUUUCAGUGUUCUCUACUCUGUUUUUUUUUAUUAAUUGUCGUGAGUUUGUCAAAAUCUGUUUUAGCACUGUAUGCUUAUUAAUUGUUAUUGCUGUGCUAUCUACAUAUCUAUUUAUUGUCAGUGAUUACGGUGGUAUUUGACUGUACGAUAUCAACUGCUACUAAAUGUUAAAAUUGUUAUAUUGUAUAGGGGUGCACAGCAUUGUGGAAUGUAAUCGAUCAAAUAACACUACUAAGAAAUUUCCCAACAGUAAUUCUUUUAAGAGGGUUAAAACUGUUAAAUGUAAGGCAUCACCCUAGUAAAAGAUGAUAAAGGUGAUAUAUGGCAAACUUCUUAGCAGAAAUAAAAUAUAUAUAUAUAUAUAUAUAUAUAUAUAUAUAUAUAUAUAUAUAUAUACACUAUUUGACAUGAUUGAUGGGUGUUUAUCACUGAACAAAUAAAACAACAAUUUAAUUUACCAAGUCCUCUUGAGUCCAGGAGAUUGAACGGGAGAUCAGGAGGUCCAGGUUACAUUUAUAUAUAUGUAUUAAUAUUUUUUCUAUAGCACCCAAAAACAAUAUUGUAGUUUUUAAUAUCAAUUGUUUUGGAAGGCCUACUGAUUGCUACUUUGAAACUAUGUCCCUUCAAAACAAGGGGCUAUCACAUUAAAUAUCCUUAUGUUCUGUUUCAGAUUUGAGAAAAUGUACUUGUCAUUGGAACACUCGGUGGGAUGCGGAUUAGAACAUUUAAAGCAGGGGGGGGAGGGUGCCACACUCUACUGGGCUGUUCUUUUUGUUUUUUUUUAAACCAUGUCAUGUCAAAACGUUGGUAUGUUAAAUUUACCUACUAGAAAGGAUGAAGUUCUGAUGAAUAUUUAAUGUGUCAUUAAAUGAGUCAGUUUACCUGGUAAGCACAUGGUUUUGAUAUAUAUAUAUAUAUAUUUUUUUUUUUUCUUGGUAACAUGCUCACUUUUCUACAAGCAUCUUAACUAUAAAAUUCUGUUUCAGUGAGGUUAACACUAUAUAUGGAGCUUUGAAUAAUGUUAAAGUCAAACAGCACAUCUGUCCAAUAUCAUUUCCAAGCAACAUCUGUUCAUCCAGCUACGGUCCAGUCAUCCUUUAUUUUGCUGCCAUCCUUCAGAUAACACCACACACUUGUAACUGUUGGUCCGCAAUACCACUUUAGUGGCUGAUCAAUACAAUAAAAAGAGCGUGUCUCACCUAUCACAUCAAUGUGUAGCAUUUCAAGAGGCACUAUGACGGAACAAUGUGAUCUCAUGCAUCACAGUGCAUGAAGGCAUUCCUCUGCAUUUGCUGUGACUGCAUUAAAUGGUGUAUUCAAUAAGCCCCAUAAAAAACAGAUUGUGCAGUGAUCUACCAGAAACUCACAUUGAUUUGAAUAGGAUAUUGGCCAGAAAGAACAAUGGAGUAUGUCAUAUCAGCACUUGUAUCCAAGUUCUGUAAAAAGACAUCUUCUCCAUUUGACAUCUUACUGAAAUUUAAAUAUGUUCUACGUACUCUUCAAAACUAAAGCCUCAGAUAAUAUGCUUGACGAGGAGAUUAAAUGAAUUACAAGUGAACUUUCAUUGACAGUAAGUUUUGCUUUUUACGAAUUGUGCUUUGUGUUCUUAGCAGUCAGAAACUAAACCUUGUUUUUCUUUUUAUUAUUAUUCACUAUUAAGAUAAAACAUUAAUACAAUGACUAAUCUGCCUUAUAACUUCACUAGUCAUUGCAUUAUUUUUAUCUUUACUCACUUGCUUUAAUACAUAUGUGGCAUUGUCUAAAUCACUGGUUUUUAGGUCAAUAUUUAGACCUGCAACAGUCCAGAAAUUGUUACAACAGAACAGGCAAUUCAUAGGCUUUGGGAUUUUAGUUAUGCUUUGAGGACUGGUUGAUAUGACUUGAACAUUAAUAUUAUUCGUGGUUGUAGUCAUGAUAUGAGAAUAUUGAGGAUGAGAACAAUUUGAGCUGUAUGAAAUUGGGAAAAAAAAACCCAAUAUGAGAUAUGGUCAAAAGAGGGUCUUCUAUUUAUUAAUUAAAUGACAAAGAAAAGAGACAGCCAAGGUCUUUGUCUAAGGUUCCAAGGACAAACCAAGUGUGAAAGGUUGGGCCAUAUAUACAGAGAGCACUGCACAAGAUUAAACAUUAUACAGCAGAUUGUGGUGUGUGCAGUCAAGAACAGAAAUUCUAGUUUAGUUAUCGAGUUGUGUCCAAGAAGUAUACACACACAAAUGUGAAAAUGUGACAAUUAUCAGUGCUCCUGUCAUAUACCAAAAUUCAGUAAAUAUACAUAAAAUAUGAAUGUACUAAAGAGAAAAGAACAAAGAAAGUUUAUUAAGGCAUAAAAUAAGAAAGAAAAUACUAAACAUAGAUUUGGCAAUAUAUAAAGUUUCAAAACAUUAUUAUUUACAAAUGAUUUGAAUAAUAAUGAUUUUGUAAUCCAGUAGAAUAUAUAAUGGCUCGUAUGGAUAUCUAAUAUAUUUCAAUUCAAAUUAAAACUUUUGAAAAAUUACUGCCAUUAGGGAAUAUGGUCCAUAGAUAUAAAGUACAGUGUAAACAUGUGUGCAGUCAUUUUGUUUGUUUCUCCAUAAGAGAAUGCUGUAAUAAAAAAUAAAAAAAUACAAUUAGUGCCACCAAAUAUUGUCUCUUAAAAUCAGUUACUGUCUGCCACAACUACCUUUGUCAUAUGAUUGGAAAUGCAAGCGAUUCUAUAUUAAAUCGCAUAGCGCUUGCUACAAUAGUGAUGGUAGAAAUGGUAAUUAUAUAUUCACCUAUUUACAUUUUUUCAGAGUUAUCUUUGUUUAACCCCUUAAGACCGGAGGGCGUACUAUUACGCCCUAUUUUAGGCGGCUCUAAACGCCACCGGGCGUAAUAGUAUGUGCUCCGGUCUUUCAUUACUUACCCGGUCGCCGGUGAUCGCAGUUGUGGGGACUCCCAGGGAGCCCCCCGCGGCACGUCCAACCCACUGUAAGCCCCCCGGCCAUGUGAGAGUGAGGUCCUUGCGUGGACCUCACAAUCACAUGGCCGGGAUAGCUGGCUGCAGCAUUGCCAGCAGGGGGGCUGCCUGUAAUGACAAGUAGUUCCCCUGCUGGCUAGAAAUAAAAUUAAAUAAAAGUUAAAAGUGUAAAAAAAUAAUAAUAUAUACUUAGAUCUAAGUAUAUAUAUAUACACAUAUACAUACACACACACAUGUACACUGUAUAGGUGUAUUUUACUAUUAAUAUAUAUAUAUUAAUAUCAAAUUACACAUAGACUGAUACUGAUUCUGAUUAAAUAUAUAUAUAAGUAUUGUUAUAUAUAUAUUUAUAUAUAAUUUAAAAAAAUUGAAUAUGUAAAUACGUUAAAAAAUAAAAUAAAACAAAUAAUAAAAAAUAAAUAAUUAAAAAAUAUAUAGAUGUGUGUUAUUUCAUUCUAACUGUUUUGUGAUAUUAAUAUAUAUAUAUUUAUAUCAAAAUACACGUAGAACGAAAUAAUAUAUAUAUCUAUAUACAUAAAUAUAUACGUAUAUAUCACUAUAUAUAUACCAAUAUAUAAAUAAAAAUAUUUAAAAAAAAAUAUUUAUAUAUAUACAUAUAUAUUCACAUACGUAUAUAUAUACAUAUAUUAAUUCUACAUAUAUAUUUAUGUAAUAAUUUUACAUAAUUGGGUAUCUUAAUUAAUUACAAUUAGCGGGACCUGCCUGACAACCCAUGCUGAAAGUAAAGGGAAUUUAAUUUGCUAGCACUAUAUUUAACCCUAUAACUUUCCAAGACACCAUAAAACCUGCACAUGGGAGGGUACUGUUCUACUCGGGGGACUUCACUGAACACAAAUAUUAGUGUUUCAAAACAGUAAAAUGUAUUACAACGAUGAUAUCGCCAGUAAAAGUGAAGUUUUUUGCAUUUUUCACGCACAAACAGCACUUACACGGACGAUAUUAUUCCUGCGAUACUUUUUACUGUUUUGAAACACAAAUAUUUGUGUUCAGCGAAGUCUCCCGAGCACAAUAGUACCCCUUAUGUACAGGUUUUAUGGUGUUUUCAAAAGUUACAGCGUCAAAUAUAAGGCUUGUGUUUCAUUUUUUUCACAUUAAAAUUCGCCAGAUUGGGUACGUUGCCUUUGAGACCCUAUGGUAGCCCUAGAAUGAAAAUUACCCCUAUGAUGGCAAACCAUUUGCAAUAGUAGACAACCCAAGGUAUUGCAAACAGGGUAUGUCCAGUCUUUUUUAGUAGCCACUUAGUCACAAACACUGGCCAAAAUUGGCGUUUUUGCAUUUUUCACACACAAACAAAUACUAACGCUAACUUUGGCCAGUGUUUGUGACCAAAUGGCUACUAAAAAAGACUGGACAUACCCUAUUUGCAAUACCUUGGGUUGUCUACUAUUGCAAAUGGUAUGCCAUUAUGGGUGUAAAUUUCAUUCCUGGGCUACUAUAAAGUCCCAAAGGCAAGUAACCAAUCUGGCGAAUUUCAAUUUCAAAUGUAACGUGCUAUAUUUGACCCUGUAACUUCCCAAAACGCUAUAAAACCUGUACAUAGGGGGUACUGUUUUACACGUGAGACUUUGCUGAAUACAAAUAUGUGUAUUUUAUUGCAGUAAAAGCAAACAGUAGUAUGACAUUGACAGUUAAAAUGUCACAUAGAACUAAAAAAAUAAAAAAUAAAUAAUUUUCUCCCAUUUUUUUCAUAUUAAAUUAUGUUUCAUAGUUAAAUAUUUGAUAUUAAAUAAAAUCCCUGUUUCCCCUGAAUAAAAUGAUAUGUAAUAAGGGUGGGUGCAUUUAAUAUGAAAGAGGUGAAUUACGGUUGGACAGACAUGUAGCGCAAAUGCCAGGUUUUGUUUACAUUUUGUUUCGUUCACAACGUGUACAUUUGGCUCCGUCCUUAAGGGGUUAAAACGUGCUUCUUUAUAUUAUUCAAAACUUUUUUCUUCUUUUUAACUUUUUGUCUUUACUUUGCUUACAUUCUCAGGGCUAACUGAUUUUCUGCAUCAGGAAUUGUCUUGAGAUUUGCAGGUUUUCGAGCAAAAGAGCAAAACUGGAAGAAUAGCUUAAAUGGAGAAUUUUUGCCUAAAAUCUGCAUGUCUCUGAUUAAUUCUGGAUACUUUCUAAAUAAUUAUGCAUAUGUUUUAGUGUAUGAAUGAUCCACAGAUUGAUUUUUUAUUCCAGAUAAUCAUUUCUAGACUCAAUAUUGCACUCCAGCUACCAUUUCUAGACUUGAUAUUACACUCCCGUUACCAUUUCUAGAAGUAUUCGGUAUUUCUCUCCAGGUUAUUGUUUCCUUACACCAUGUUUACAGUUUGAUUCAUUGAGUCUGGUAUGCUUCAUAGUUGCCUUUUUAACAAUAUUCAAAUAAAAUAAAUUAUGUCCAGGCACUCAGGAUUGCUGCAGAAAGGCAGGUUUAUUAGAACAAAAAGCACAACAUUUUAACCUACACAGAUGCCCUUAUCACGCUUUUUAAAGGCCUCUGUGUAGGCCGAAAUGUUGUGCCUUUCUGCAGCAAUCCUGAGUGCUUGGACAUAAUUUAUUUCAUCUACUAAACUGGAUUCCUAAGUGUGAGUGCAGUAUCCUCCGUUUGUGAAUUACUUUGUAACAGUAUUCAUCAUGUUUGGUUCUGAAAGCACCGAUGUAAUAAAAUCCAAAGAAUAUAGCAAAAUUAAACACUUUUGGGGGUCAUGGGUCAUGGUCAUGGGUAUCCUCUUAUCUGAAGAAAACAUUUCUCUGUUUCCUAAAGAUUUUUGGCAUAGCUUGGGUAAAAAAUUCUGAAAUAAUCUAGGUAGUAAAUGUAUCUAAAUUUAUAAUCUAGGCACUUAUUUAACUAAGCAAAUAGGGCCUCCUAUUGGAUAGUUACUGCGUGGGCGAUUAUCUUUCAGCUGACAACAAGUUAUUUAACCCUAACUGAUGCAAUGAGUAGCCUCUCAUUUCUUAAACAACCAUGUCGAAAGACACAUUGUCGGGAUCCCGCGGGCGGCUGCGAGGGGAGGCUGCACUCCGCUCGCGGUACUCACCCUCCAGCCAUCCGCGGUCCCCUCAUCCUCCUGGGUCUGGCGAGCGGCAUCCUUCCAGCCUCGGAUGCCGCCCGCCGUUUCCUCCACGUCCCCCAGCGGCAGCAUACAUGACACUGCACGCUGGGAGACCGCCCAAGUUUGUACACGCCGGGGUCAGUCACCUGACCUGGCGUUAAAGGCACAGUGCCUCAAUCACAGUGGGAGGUCUAGAUAUAUCCCACGUGUGAUUGUUAAUUCUGAUUGGAAGUUAUCCAAUCAGAAUUAACCUUAUGAUUUAAAUACUUACCUUUCCUGUUCCUCCCUGCCCUGUUGUGGUCUUUGCUUUCUAGUAUUGCUACUUACCUUGUACCUCUGGUUACGUACUCUCUGGCUUGUUUAUCUGACUCUGUGACUUUCUCCUACCCUUUGACCUCGGCUCGUUUCACGUUAUUCUGUCUUCUGGUUCCCCUUACUCGGCUUGUUUCCUGACUAUUCUGUGUGUGCUUAGCCCGGCCACUCUAAGGUCCGGUUCGGCACCUUUUGUGUGUGUGUGUGUGUGCCAGCGUGUUGGGUUCCCCGAAUCGUGACACACAUCCCAUGGUCGUGGAAAAGAUGUUAGUCUGUUUGAGAAGGGUCAAAUCAUUGGCAUGCAUCAAGCAGAAAAAACAUCUAAGGAGAUUGAAGAUACUACUAAAAUUGGGUUAAGAACUGUCUAACACAUUAUUAAAAACUGGAAGGAUAGUGGGAAACCAAAGUCUUCGAGGAAGAAGUGUUGUCGGUAAAAAAUCCUGAUUGAUCGUGAACGGCGAUCACUUAAACGUUUGGUGAAAUCAAAUCGGCGAAAAACAACAGUAGAACGCAUGACUAUGUUUAAUAGUGAAGGUAAGAGCAUUUCCACAUGCACAAUGCGAAGGGAACUCAAGGGAUUGGGACUAAACAGCUGUGUAGCCUUAAGGAAACCACUAAUCAGUCAGGCUAGUCGGAAAAAAAGGCUUCAAUAUGCUAGGGUGCUUAAAGAUUGGACUCUGGAGCAAUGGAAGAAGGUCAUGUGGUCUGAUGAGUCCAGAUUUACCCUGUUUCAGAGUAAUGGGUGCAUCAGGGUAAGGGUAAGACGAGAGGCAGGUGAAGUGACACACCCAUCAUGCCUGGUGCCUACUGUACAAGCCUAUGGGGGCAGUGCUAUGAUCUGAGGUUGCUGCAGUUGGUUAGGUCUAGGUUCAGCAACAUUAUGAGCCCAAAGAAUGAGGUCAGCUGACUACUUGAAUAUACUGAAUGACCAGGUUAUUCCAUCAAUGGAUUUUAUCUUCCAUGAUGGCACGGGCACAUUCCAAGAUGACAAUGCUAGGAUUCAUCUGGCUCAAAUUGUGAAAGAGUGGUUCAGGGAGCAUCAGACAUCAUUUUCACAUAUGGAUUGGCCACCACAGAGUCCAGGCCUUAAUCCCAUUGAGAAUCUGUGCUGGAGAAGGCUUUGCGCAGUGGUUAAACUCUCCCAUCAUCGAUACAAGAUGAAAAAUUAUGAAAAAUGAAUGCAACACUGGACGGAAAUAAAUCUUGUGACAUUGCAGAAGCUUAUUGAAACAUUGCCACAGCGAAUGUGUGCUGUGAUCAAAGCUAAAGGCAGUCCAACUAAAUAUUAGAGUAUGUGACCUUUUUUUUAGGUGGCGACUUUUUUUUGGCCAGGCAGUGUAUAUUUUUGAGAUAAAAAAUAGGAUUCUCUAAAACAAAGAAAGAACCACUUAACAGUACUAUAAAGAGAUCACAUGUGUAGUUUGAAUAUAUUAUGCUAACACAUCAUGUGUACGUUCCUUGCCCAAACAAUGAGUUUUAGUGAUUUGACAAUAAUAGCUGGUUUUGGAAAAUUCUUCAACUUUUCUUUCAAACACUUCUGUUUUUUUCUCAAAUUGUAUUAUUUCAUUUGUUUUCUCACUUGACCUAUACUGUAAAUAGGGUCGAUGAUAAUACAAAAUGGUGAGGUACAAAUUUGCAUAUGGUGUAAAUAUACCAAGAAUUUUACUAUUUAGCUUUUUUACUUGGAUGAGUUAUUGUACUGAAAAAUAUGAUCUCCCUAUAUGUUAUUAAACAUACCUGUGAGCGUAAAGUUGUUUUUUAUCUGCCAUCAUCCUAUUAUAAACAGUGCUGGUGAAAUUUUCUGUGUUUGCAUAAAUUUAAUAUCUAUAUUUGAAUUGUCCUCAAGAGCUGUUUUUGGAUAUCUGACAGAUGUCAUUGAGAUUUGGUGGAGAGUGAAGGGGGGUGGGGGGAUAAUUAAGAAUGGGGAAAAUGGUGGAAAUAAAAGCAGGAGUCUUUUCUCUGACAUGCAAAAAAUAAGUAAGUACCAGCGCUUAUUAAGUUGAAUCACAAUGUAUCUGCUUUCAAGUAACUUUUAUCAGCUGCUGUACAUUCAAGUGAUCCCUUACAUCACCAACAUAAAAUACAAAACUAGAAAAUAAUGUAGAGCUUGAAUGAUAAAUAAAUAAAUCACCUUUGGUUUGAAUUUGAAGGAGGAUUUCCCCUUGUGUACCCAAUGUGUACAGGUAUCUAUAAAAGAUAAUCUAACAUAGUGUAGGUCAUAUAUAGCAAGAUAAUAAACUUUUUAUUACAGAAUGUAUACACUCACAAACGGAGAGCUGUAGACCCAGCUCUGGUUUGAAUCGCUUCUGGGUCCGUUUAUGCAUUAUGUGUCGGGUUAUGCUAUAUUAUUUGUAGAUUAAUAAAAAUAAAUAAAUAUAUAUAUAUAUAUAUAUAUAUAUAUAUAUAUAUAUAUAUAUAUAUAUAUAUAUAUAUAUUUUACUUUUGAAGCAUUAGCUGAUUGCAGUGAGAUCGAAAUGUUAAAAACUUUCUACUGAUGGAGAUAAAUUCUGAAAUAUAUGUAGAUAUAAACUAUAUCUACAUAGCAAAAGACAAAAAAAACAAAAGACAGCAGAUCUCAAAUUAUCAUGCAUAAUAUACAAACACAUACACAGCACUUUUUUCACAUUUCCGUUUACAUGAUUUCCUUGCAAAGGCCUGCUGUUUCAUGACACAGCUUUUUAUGACAUUUUAUUGAAUAGGAGUAAAAUACCCAAUACCUGUUUAUGGAUAGUGCUAUUUUGUGGGUCACCAUUAAGCUGGAAUGUCCUGAGUUUAGUUAUGUGAUAAUAUUUACACGCAUGUAUUAAUAUUAGCAAUGGGUAAAAAAGAAGAUGAUUUUGUUAGUGCUUUGUUAGCAAAUGUGCUUUUUUCCCACUGGUUUAAACUUUGCUUUUAUUUUUAAUUUUACCAAAUUCCGUCUGUUCAGACAAUGUUUUUCUGAAUCUUUGUAUGCUUAAAAGCAUUACAAAGACAUCGGAGUCUAUUGACAAAACUAAGAGUUGUCAUGGCAAAUAAUAUACAAAUUUGUGCUGGUAAGCGCAAUUUAUAUAAAGUGCAAAUUACAUUAUAUGCAAAAGAUGCUUAGUAUCAGGUUGCCAUGUAAACUAAAAACAUACAUGAAAUACCAUGCAAAAUGAAAAAACUGUACAAAUACUUUUAAAACACUAGCCAAUUCCAUAUAUUCAACUUACUCUUUGUUUAGCCUAAGGAAAAUAUGUCUCAGAAAUUGAUGGGUGUCAGUGCUCUUACAAUCUAGUGGCAGCUUAUACCCUUUUUUGUCAAUUGUAUCUUCCACACUCCUGAUAAUAUAUGAUAUAUUGUGAUGGUGAUAAAGAAUGUCCAUAAUAACUAGCCACCAACCACCAGUUCUCUAUAUAAUGUUUAAUCUAGGAUAUGCUUCAUUAGCCUAUUAGCUCUCUCAGUUGAACCCAUAUCUUAAGACUAGAACCCAGUCACUAUAACUGUAAUAUCAUUAUUUAGUUCCCAGGCCCCUUGUAAUCUAUGUAAAAGGUGAGUUUACUUACCUUUAUUCCAGUGCUGCACAGGUCCACCUGCGAACCACUCCCUUGGCUGAGAUCAUCAAAUUUUACAAUCCCAGCCAAUCAGACUAUUGCACAUGAGCAGCAAAAUACCACCUUGGCCAAUCAGCAUCUUUUCAUGGAGAUGCAUUGAAUCAAUGCAUCUCUAUGGGGAGCGUUCAAAGUCUCCAUGCAGAGUGUGGAGGUACUGAAUGUAAGUGCUGCACAUUGUGUAGCACUGAAUCAGGUUGCACCUCUAGUGGCCAUUUGAGUGACUGCCGCUGGAGGUGUUCCUUGGCAGUAAUUUAAACAUUGCCUUUUCUCAGAAAAAAAACAGUGUUUACACUAAAAUGCCUGCAGGAACAGUCUAUAGACACCAUGACAACUACAUUAAGCUGUAGUUGUUCUGGUGACUAUAGUGUCUCUUUAAGCUCAACUUUAAUUUAAUUCUUAUGUAUCUUUGGGUUCCUGCAACAUGUUUGCCCUUACAAUCGAGACACCUGAGAAUUGUCAGCACAGUUUGUAGUGUGAGUGCAUCAUUACAUUUGCUCAAGCAGAGUAAUCUCAGAGCAUUGAGCACAUGUGAGAACACUUCAGAAGUGCUUUGUGCAUGAGGAGCCCUGAGUGGGGCUGGUUAGACUUGUAGUGUCAUAUAUAAGCUUAACACACAUCCUUUUAAGGUGGUCUUUGCAAUUUCUAUUUGAACCUGGCCAUUUCUAAGGCCAAUCAAUCGCUACCUUCUUGUGGUCUAUCCACAUGCCAUCUUCCAAUGUACAAAUGUAUGAUAUUUUCAUUCUAAGACUGGAAAUUUCAAUACAGAUAUCCCCAAAAGAAAUUUAUGUGACAAACAUAGAACAUAAUAAUGAGGAAGAGGGUAUUUCACCUGACAAUACUGCAGGUGUUUUGUUCAGGAGUUUAAGAGUGCAUGUGAGACUAAAAACCCAGUGAGGUAAAAUGCUUGGUCUAUGAUUACAGUCCUGUGAACUGAAAACAUGUUUGGGUGCUGAUUCAUCAUAUUAAUUUCCUCAUUGUUUAUUUUAUCAUCAUUAAGAAUUCAAGAAGAACAUUUUAAGAGAUUCUCAUGGACUAUCAACGUAGUAUUUUGCAUUCAGUUUGCUGCUCAUUUUUAUUGAAGCGUGUCAUAUUGUGCUCAGUGCUAAUUUUUCUUUUAAUUAUUUUUGUUGAGUGGAAAGAUGAAAGUAGAUAAUUAUUUAUUUCAUUUGGAAUUAGCAAAAAUACUUGUUUGGGUACUAAUGCUUACCCUUGAAAUGUAGGAGUUGUUCAAUCUUACAUUCAUUAUUGUUAUUAUUGUUAUUAUGAUGUUACCAUAGUUGUGGUUGGGUAAUAUUGUUUUAAAAAACAUAUGAAGCAACCUAGUAAUAUAUAAAUUGGUAUUACUUUCACUAACAAUUUAGGGCACACUAAGAAUUAUAAAGAAAAUAAACAUUUACCCGGAAGGAUAACUUGAGAUUUAUCUAGUAUUCUCUGAUGUGUAUCUAGUAGUCUUUGGGGUAUACAUUUUAUUAAAACUUAAAGGGAGGGCUGGCUCUGAGUGUAAUGUUGACCAGGUGAGAUCCAAUUGUGAUCCAAUUGUGUGGUGUCAAUAAUGUGCAGCAAUGAUACUCACCUGAUCGAUGAUGCCGAUUCAGUGUUCCUCGCAGGUCGUGCACGUCGAAUACUUCCGUAUAACAAGCUGGACGCUAUCCGCUCUAAGGGCGCAUCUUUAAAUGCCGAAUGUUCGUGGAACGUCACUUCUGAUUCAGAAUUGUAUGCGUUUUCCCAGUUUACCUCAUUUUCGCACUUUAUGGGGUCACAGGUAACGUGAACCAAUCAGGUCUAGGUAACUUUAUUUAGACCUGUUUUGACCUUGGUUCAUUGUUUUGUCUGUAUAUUCUUGUUUUGACCUCGGCUAGUAUAUAGGAAUUUUGAGUACUUCUGUUAUCCUGAACCAGCUUGUUAUAUGUUAUCUGACUAUCUGUAUUCCUGACUGUGGCUAGUUAUUUGACUUUGCCUCUUUCUUUGUUUAUUACAAUAUGUCUGGCCACUCUAAGGCCUGGUAAUUCAUCUAUCUCUGUUUAUCCUGUUGGGCCUCCCAUUUCCUGCAUGUUUCGAUAUAUUUCUCAUGACAUAUUCACUAUCAAAGCCAGUCUUGACUAUUGUCACAGUGAGUCUAAUGGACCUAGGCUGAACUUAGAUAGGGAUGCAUUUUGCAACCUGUUUCCCUACACAUACUUUCUUUUAAGCCCUACCCUUCAUACCUGGUUCCCCUGCUCUUCUUCAACAGUACAACCAGUCUCUGGGUUACUACAGCUUUUUGACUAACACCUUGUAGUUCUGCUAGGAAGGCAACAAGCAUGUUUCUGCGUCUUGCUCAUUGCAUAAUUGGCUGUAAAUAUAUAAGUAUAUUUUACUUUUGCCCUUGUACAUGUCCUCUUCUACCUUUAAGAUUUUUUUUCAUUUGCCUCUCCCUGGUAUGUAGGUGCACCCUCUGUUUUAUGGUGCACUGAGGUAGUUAUAUACCUUUAAAAGAAGUGGAAUUAUUCCCCACCCAUAGGUAUGUGUAGACUAAUAUAACUUACCUUUGCAUUAACUAUAAUGUAUAUUUUUAUUUUGCUCUUCGUCCCUGGUUUUCAUGGAUUUUUUUUCACCUGUCUCUCUCUGGUAUGUGGGUGCACUCUUUGCGUGUGGUGCACUGAGGUAGUCAUAGGGACUUUUUUCAGGUGUCUUUUUCUCUGUAUACCCUCUUAUGAGUAGUGGGGGUAUUCCCUCCCCCCCCCCCCAUAGGUGUCUGUAGGUGAAUAUAGCUCACCUUUGUACUAGCUGUAAACAUAUACCUUUGUUUUUUGUUCCCCAUAGCUUUUCCCCUUCUUUAGCUUAUUGAGUGGCUAGGAGGGUGAACCAUGUAGGACUUUAGUCUUGUUAUCUAAUAAUUUUGUUUCUAAGACUUCUGCUGUAGGGUUUUGCCUUCUGUCAUUCAGCCUACGGUCACCUCCAUUUCCCACUCACAUCUGUCAGUCAACACUUUAUUCAGCUUUUUUGAGCGUAUAUGCAGAUAUUCCCAUAUGUCUAUUUGUUUUGUAUACCUUUGAUAAAGUUAUUUUCAAUCUUUUUUAAUUUCAUUUUUAUUCUGCACCCUGAUUAGCUAAAUACAUUUAUUUACCUAAAGCUUUAUUUAUACUAUUAGAUUUGUCACGUACGUGGGUUCAAUCCCAAUCCUUUAGGGUUGCAGAUUUAGUGACUACCGUCCGUACAUUUUUCAUUUGCUCAACUAAGUAAGCAUAAUAUUAAAAAUCCAGGAAAGUGAUAGUUCCCCUUUAAUCUUAUAUUUUUAAAAGACCCUUGGAAAAUGAGAAUUCUCAUUAUUUUGUAUAGCAUUUAAAUCCUAACAUAUCUCAGGCCAACUUGACCAUUUGUGAAAAGUUUCAUUUAGUAUAAGCAUACUGAUACGUACAAUCUGAAUGUUUCUCAAGCUGUGGUGGCAAGCCUUUGAUAACUCAACUAUUCUAGACUACGUUUCUAAUUAUGCAUCAUGGAAAAUUUAGUUUUAACCUUCAGUGAUAAAGUUAGCCACCAUUGUUCUACAAUGUUUACAAUUUUUUGAGGGCACCAUACAUAUUAUGUCAUUAUUGGGAAUGCAAGUAUUAGCCUCUAGUUUCCAAAGAAAGUGGCACAUAAAUCCAGGAUUAAACCUGGGGUGAGUCCUUUAAACUAUGCUUUGAGUUUAUUUUGCAGUUAUACAUUUUGUUUUCCAUUUAUUUAAUUUUCCUUUAUAUUUUUAUGCUAUAAAUCUAUAAAUAUUUAAUACAAUUCCAGGAGGGCCAUCUCUGCUCUCACAAUAAGAAUACAUUUGCAGACUAUUUUUCUUGCUAGGAAUAGGAAAUGAAAGCAAAUCUCUACAUGUUAGCCAUUAUAUUUUAAAGCCAAUUAACACAAUAGAAUGCAUUUUUACAUGCUAUUUUUCUUGGAGUUGGUUUUACAUACAUUUGGGUAUAGCUUGUGUUAUGCCGAAUAGUUGGUUUUUGAUGUCCGGAAAGAAUGGGGUAGUAAAUAAUAGAACUCUCUUGCCAUGAUUGCCACAGGAAUCCAGUACUAGAACUGCUUUGGUUCUUAUUUCACUCAGUUUCUUUGGUCUCACUGCGUACAAAAGAAUGAUCUUUUAUAGCAUGUUAUAUAUGGCUUACAAAACACAAUUUUGAAUAUGUUUGCUAUUAAUUUAUAAAAAUCUGAAUAAUGUUUUUAUUCUUAUGGAUAAUAAAGAAUGGAUUUUCUUUAGCACUAAAUCUAAAUAUAAUUAGUCAUAAACUUAUGUGUAUAGCUGUUGUGUUCUUUUAUAUCUGUCUGGUCAUUCUCCCAGUUCUCCUAGCAUAUGAAGGUAUCACAAAGCUGUAUUCCUGGCACUGUAGCUCCCUUUGCCUCCCCCUCCCUCGCGUCCCUCUCCCCAGUAAAAAAAAAGGUUUAAAAACCCUUUAUUUACUCACCUCCGCCCCCUUUGACGGCUUGCAAUGAGCAGGCGAUAAUGGACAUGUGCGGCAAAUGCCGCUUGCGCAUUAGACAGCCCCAAAGGAAAGCAUUGAAUCAGUGCUUUCCUAUGGGGAAAAAGCUGAUGCUGGAGGUCCUCAUGCAGAGCGUAAGGACGUCCAGUAUCAGAUAUUGGACAAAGAUCCGUUUCGAUACAGCCACUGUUGCCAGACAUAGUGUUGCAACGUUUUGCAGCACUAGGUGCAAAAGGGACAUUGCACUCAGACCACUUCAGUUAGCUGAAGUGGUCUUAGUGCCUUUAAAUGUGUUUAAAGUAACACUCUAGUGUUGUAAAUGAAUACAUUUAUUUAUAGUGCUGGAGUGUUGGUGAGACUACUGUGCCCCCUUUCUACCUCACUACAUAUAUAAUAAAGAGGUCACUUACCUCUAAUCCAGCAGGGAGAGAGUCCCUUGCGGCAGCUCUGCUCCUCGCAUUGGAAGUUAAGCAGUACUGGUGAACUCUUCGGCAUCUAAAUGCUUCUCAUAGAGGAGUAUUGGUAGGUGCAUGCAUGGUGAUUGAAUACAGUAUUUAUCUAUGAGCAUCAUUGCCUUCUAUUAUAAUUAUUGAUAUUUAUAUAGCGCCAACUUAUUCCACAGUGCUUUAAAAUAUUAUUAAGAUGAAAAGAGAUGCAACUGAAUACUCAUUUUGGAACAGCAGGAGAGAGAUCAGGGAAGGAGAAGUAUAUCUGGAUGUCAUUGGCAUGCAGCUAGUAGUGGAAUCCACAAGAAGUAGUAGAAUUUUGCCAAAAGUGGCAGUAUAGAGAGAACAUAGAAAGGCAAUGAGCACAGAACCUGGAGGGACUCCAACUGAGAUAGUAUGAGGGGAGGAGAUGUUACCAGAAAAGAAGACAUUAAAGGAUCGCUGGGAGAGAGAGAGUCAAGAAAGGACAAUCUCAUGAAGGCCAAGGGAGAAGGAGAAAAGUAAUCAACAGUGUCAAAAGCAGCAGAGAGGUCUAAAAGAAGUAGAACAGAGUAGUGGCCUCUGGAUAUUUGUAAUUAUAUUAUUACUUACUUUAGUCAGAGAUGUCUCACUAGAAUAGAGGGGGCAGAAACCAGACUGAAGAGGGUCGAGAAAGAGAGUUAGAGUUGAGAAAGUAUGGUUAAAUGACAAGUUAUUUCACAAGCUUUGCGGAGAAAAGGAGCAGAGAUAUGGGAUGGUAGUUAGAUGGCUCAAGAAAUGGCAGAACUUACUGGCAUUUCAGAUCUGGACUGCCCGUACGGGUGGGACCAGUCUGAUAUGCUUCAGAUAGGUUCUCUUUGUAAUGGCACUAGAUGAGCUAAAACCAGCUUGAGAUCUGAGUGGGGACCCACCGAAGGGCAGGCUAAUUGAGCUGUUGUCCGUUCUCACCUCUUGCUUUUCUCUCCCUAUGUGUUAAGGAAGGCACAAGGAGAGAGAGAGAUCUGUUUAAGUGAGUCACUUUGUGCUUAUUCACAGUUGGGAUGAUGCAGCAUAGGAACUUUAUAAUAGUGGUGAUUUCUUUUGCAAUGAUCACUUUUAUUAAGUCUGAAAAAGGGGACAUUCUGUUAACCCUUAAAGCUCUUUAGCUUGGAGUGUUCUUUUAAUACUAUAUAUAGAAAAUAAACAUAUAACAUUAUUGUAAGCUAUUUCUCAUAGAUUGUAAGCUCAUUUGAGCAGGGCCUUCUUCACCUCUUAUCUUUGUUAUAUUCUGUAUGUCAAUUACUUGUUGUCCGAUAUCUCCAUUCUAUAAUUAAAGUUGAAGUUCUGCAUAAUAUGUUGGCGCUAUGCAAUUGCUAAUACGAAUCAUAAUAAUAAUUCACUAAAUACCCAGAAACAAUAAUUGGCAACUGGCACACAUUCAGAUAUUCGUGAGCAAUGCAUUUUAAUAGUUAUCCAAGUGUUACAUAUGGGUUAAUAAGCAGAAUACUGAAUGGUCAAAAAUCAGAAAUGCUUAUGAGUACAGAGCAAAACAUAUUGAUUACACAGUGCAGAGAUAACUGGUACUAAGUGAAGGAAUCUUUUAAUGCACUCUAAUAAUGUGGAAAUAGUGAAUAACACAAAGGUUCACAUUCUCAUUUACAUUUUUUGUAUCAUUCAUUCCAAAUGCAGUUUAGCAUUUUUAUUCUUCAUGUUUUGCAGAUGUAAUUUAAUCAUCAUACAAGACGCACCAGGCACAGAUGUCUUAUAACACCAGGAGGAAGAUGUGUGAUCGUCUGAGCUAAAUGUGUUGUCCAAUAGAAAACAUAUUAACGAUGACCAGUAAGUUGUAAGGCAAAACAUAUUUCAAAUGUAUCACUGUGUGUAUUUAACAUUUUACUUUUCACUCUUGACUUAUUUAAAAGUUUAUUUUUUUAAUCCACAAUCUAUUAAUGAUAGUGUAGGUCUACUUAACCAUUCUAAAAAUGUUUGUACUGACACAUGAUGGUGGUUAAGGGGAAUGCAGUAUGAGAAGCUCUAUAAUCAUUAGUAGUCUAACAAACCUCCAUGUCACCAUUUUUGUAAAGAGUAAGCAGUGUAUGAUAUAUCUAUAUAGAUGAUAUUGGGUGAUUGUCUAAGAAGAGGGUUCCAUGGCAGGGGUAAAAAUGACUAAAAUUUGUAUUUGCUUGAGAACUUAUUUCUCAUUUGUACUAUAAUAGAUACUGCAACAAAUUAAUUCAACCACUCUCAAUGUAAAAGUGGCAUUACAUUACUUAGGCAGUGUUGUUGCUACAGUAAACAGUUUAUUGUGGCAAUUGGCUAAUAACCUAAUAACCAGGGUUAGCCUUCGGCAUAGCCACCAAAAGUUGGCACCACCUUGCCCAAUCACAGAGAGUUGAUGUACUAGCACCUCCCCCCCUAUUUAGGUUGACAGAGCACUGGGCUCAUUUUGAGAGAGGUCGAUGGAGGGGGACUCAUAUAAAUGCUGUGUUAUGGCCCUCUCAACUUGUCGUGACAAGAAGGGCAGCGAUGGCCACCAGCAUGCAUCAUUGCAACAGUAUAAGUUGUGGAAUGACAUCCCUCAAGGCCCUCAAAAAGCUGAAUGGAGGGUGAGGUGAACAGAAGCAACCACACAGAUGGGGGUUGAAUAAGCCACGCUAGGUGGGAAAAUUAAAUGAGCCACACAAAGGGGGGAUUUAAAGACCCACACAAGGGGUAGGUUGAAAUGAGUCUCUUAUUUGGGACUUGGAAACUCAAGGUGGGGGUGGAGGGUGGAAGGAACCACAUAAAGGUCCUAGAGAAUAGAAAUAAACAUACACAGUUGGAUGGGGAGAUAGAAAGAGAGAGGGAGCAAACUGACAGAAGCACAUAAGAAGGAAGAGAAAUACAGGCAAAAAAGAAAGGGGAUGAUGGAAAGGGACACAUGAAGAGGGUGGAGAGAGUACACCAAGGAUAAGAUGGAGACAGAGAAGAAAAACAUGGGAUUGAUAAUGUGAAAUCAUGAUGGGUGAGCAUCAUUCCUAAAUUUCCCACACGGUGCUUAAAAUCUGAAGGCAAGACCAGUUGAAGAAUAUAAUAGCUCUUUUCCAACUAAUAGGACCAACAGAAAAUAGUAUGUGCUCCCAGUUUUGGGUCCCAAGUCUUUGGUCGAAAACCGCUACUUUAAAAUUGAAUUAUUAGAAUAUGUAAAUAAUUGGUUGGUAGUAUAUGCGGAGGAGGUUGAGUUAUAUAUAGAUGGCACCCAGUAAGAUAUAGGGACUAAUUCCAAACUUAAAAAAACGAUUUAACCUAUACUUCCAUUUAGUGCAUGGUGAACCCAUUUGGUUGUUUGUGAUAGUGUAAGUAUCAAGUCUUAAAGCAUUGACAUGCUCAAUAAUUACAAGUUUUAUAAUAGUGUCAGAAUAAUUUGGAGGUUCUUUGUAAAUAGUUUUAGAAUCCCCCCUAGCUAAAAUGUUCACCACUAACAGGACUAUUCUCCAAAUUGCUGGGGAUUCAAAGUGAAUUUGAUAUUCGAGGCUAAAAAAAAAAAGCUAAACUGGAAGCAUACCUGACUUAAAAAAUUCUUCCCUAUUUAACUAUUUUGGCUUUAAAUUUAAAAGUCACUUUGAAUUCACAACAAUUCUCACUUUAGUGAUAAAUCUUUUCCCACAGCAUUUGUGCCCAUCAACUGGUUAUUUUUUGUUGCUUAUUGUAUAACUUUUUGCAUUUCAUGUGAUUGUAGUUAAUUGUUUCAAUGAUGAC
This 28215-nucleotide long non-coding RNA is filed under the name Pelobates cultripes (western spadefoot toad). The record is from RNAcentral. Lineage: Eukaryota; Metazoa; Chordata; Amphibia; Anura; Pelobatidae.